CAAUAGCGUAUAUUAAAGUUGUUGCAGUUAAAAAGCUCGUAGUUGGAUUUCUGGUGGGAGCGAUCGGUCUGGCGCUUAGCGCGAGUACUUGCAUCGUCUCCGGCCAUCCUUGGGGAGAGUCUGUCUGGCAUUAGGUUGUCGGGCAGAGGAUCUUCAUCGUUUACUGUGAAAAAAUUAGGGUGUUCAAAGCAGGCUUAUGCCGUUGAAUAUAUUAGCAUGGAAUAAUAAGAUAGGACUUUGGUACUAUUUUGUUGGUUUGCGCACCAAAGUAAUGAUUAAUAGGGACAGUUGGGGGUAUUCGUAUUCCGUUGUCAGAGGUGAAAUUCUUGGAUUUACGGAAGACGAACUACUGCGAAAGCAUUUACCAAGGAUGUUUUCAUUAA
This 383-nucleotide ribosomal RNA is filed under the name uncultured eukaryote. RNAcentral's name for it is "partial 18S ribosomal RNA". It matches the Rfam family "Eukaryotic small subunit ribosomal RNA", at positions 592 to 976 of the family's 1831-position model. The record is from RNAcentral.